GUGGAGGAGCAGGAGUAGAAGCGUCUCCCAUUAAGGGAGAUGUGUGGGGGUGCAUUGCAGUAUUGCUGGAAAGGGGUCGCUGGUGGGGUGAAUAUGGAAUAGGGAGUGAGAUGUAUUUUGAAAGAAGAAUAGAAUUUCAUGGGAAGAGGGCUAAUGGAAAGAGGUGUUUCUGGUUUAAGUAGCUGGAUGCAUGAAAGCGUUAUUUACCAAGAUGACAAUGUCUGGAGGUGUCCUACCAGCGGUUUGAAAAAGAAGUCUGACCUGGCAUGUUGAAUGCAGUAUGAAACCUUUUGAAAUUGAACUUCAAGAGCUUUAUAUCAAGAAGACCUGAUUGUAAGAGAAUUGGAGAGUUACUGACAACGACGGGGCUUGAUUCUGCAGUAGAUCCUGUCCAGAUGAAAAAUGUCACCUUUGAACACAUUAAAGUAGGGGAUCGUGUCAGAACCGAAUUGAACUGCAGGACGUCCUGCUGGCGUCUGAAGUGCUUGAUUAGGGGAAAAACUAAAGCACGUUUGGUGACUGGAGCUAGUGUAGAGUGAGUCAAGGAAAACGAGUGUGUGUAUUUCCUUUACAUUAAGGAGUAUUUUGCACUUAGGUAAAAUGGCGUCCAAAAAUAUUUGAAACUUUAAUACUCUGGGUAAAUGAAGUAGCAGAAGAUAAGUCUUGUUUCAUGACAGGGCUUCGUGUCAGUUUGAAAGCAGCCAGGUGUAAUGGAAUGAAUGUGGACUUCAUGGUCAGUGGACUAAGAUUUUUAAAUUUGAUUUUGAGGCAUUGGCUUGAACAAGUUACUCCAGAUUCUUACAGAUUAUGUAUGUGCUUGGCACACAGUUGAUGCACUGUAAAUGGUACUUCUCUUCGCCCGUUCCUCUUAAUUGAUCUUUGUCCUCUGGUAACUAACCCAACUGUAUUGAAAGAAUAGAACGGAUGAAUGCCAGUUUAUACCCAGUUAGCUGAACCAUUUCUUUAAUAAAUAUUUAAUAGGGUCUACAAAGUGUCAGGCUCUGUUUUACAUACUGGGUAGAAUAAAACAAAUCUCUGCCCUCAUGUUUUAACUGUAAUAGAAAUUGGAUAAUAUGGUAUAUAUGGAAAUAAUAGAGAAUGUUCAAAAAUCGUAAAAUGUUAUGGGAAAAAUAUAGAGCAGGGUGAGGAGGAUUGGGAGUUUUGUUAGAAAGGUCACAACUUGAAAUGAGGUGUUCAGUGUGGUUGAGAAGGUGACAUUUGAGUGAAGAGUUGAAGGUGGGGCGAGCCGUGCAUGUGUGAGGAGAGAGCAUGCCCGACCAGAGGAGAAGCGACAGCAAAGGCCCUGCAGAGCUGACGUGCCCGGCCUGCCCGCUGAGCGGUGGAAAGGCCGCCUCUGUGUGGAUGGAGUGAACGAGGCAGGUGGAGGAAGCUAAACAAGAACUACAGGAAGUUGUUGAAUUCUUGAAAAACCCUCAAAAAUUUACUGUGCUUGGAGGUAAACUUCCAAAAGCCGUUGAUCCAGACAUAACAGCUCGAGGUCGUGCUGGCUUUUCUGGCGCAGGUUGGAGAGUCUUGUGAACCAGGCCGCAUGGAAGGCGGCUGUUGGUGAAGCAACGGUCACCGCGAAGGGGCCGGAGCUCUCCGCAGGUGAAAUCCUAAGGGGGCCUGAAUGUAGAAGCGUGGAAAUCGAUGACAAAAAUCAAACCAUCACAGCAAGUCAUGAAUCUGGGCAAGCUGUCACUGCACAUCACGCUCAAGCUGCCGGGCCUGUCGGCAAGGCCACGGGCACGCUGCGGGGCCAGCACUGGCACAUGUGUCCCUGUUGCCUGAGAGUGACAGAUGGAAUGAAACUAGAGCUCAGCUCCUUGCACAAAUGGGUGUCAGUGUGGGACGAGUGGCAGGGGAGCUGAUAUUUGGAACUGACCAUAUUACAACAGGUUGGCUAUCAAGCGUGGCUUUAGUUCAGAUUGUCUUUGCUGGCUUAAAGAUAUUUUAAAGAAUUAAGUUCUACAUUUACUUUAAAAUUUUAGGAGCCUCCAGUGAUUUUGAUAAUGCAACUAAAAUAUCAGAGUGGAUGGUUACCAAAUUUGGAAUGAGUGAAAGGGUAAAUGGUGAUUUUAAUCCUCCUUCACGUACCAAAUGAUGUUGUGCCAAGUGUCUGUGAGAAAGGUUCUCAUUAGAAAUUGCUAACAUUUACUUUCUCCCUCUUGUUCCAAAUGGACUUGAGGCAGGUUAUUCUAAACUGAACAUUAUUUGCUGAGCAAUAAAAUGGUAGCAUUCUUUUUCUGUUGUAGCUGCUAAGACAGUAAGAGGCCAUCACCUCCUGAGGUAACUGAAUGACAGGACCAGCUGGUCAGCCUUUUCUAGUCACGUGACGUGACAGGCCUGCUUGCCGAGCCUGCCCAUUUGCCCCAUUCACCUGCUUCUCUUCCGCACAUUAUGGCUCCGUGGAGAAACGGUAGCCCUGAAUGGUGCGUUUCUGGGCUUGGAAGAGCUGCCGGGGCUCUCAGACGGUCCUCGGGACCGUACUUACGGUGCCAUAUUUUCUGUCUUGCUCCCACUUUGUUUCAGUCUUUUCCUUUCAGAAGAAUGAUGAAAUUUCUUUGACCUCCAAAGCGAAAAGGAAUCCUGUAAAUGAUGGAAGAGAAUGGAGCAGAGAGAGAGACCGAGCUGGGGCUGAGCUCCUGGCGGAGGCUGACCCCAAGACCCUCAGCUUGAGGCAGACCUGCACGCCCAGGUUCUCCUCAAAGGAACCGCUCCGGACAAGAUGACUCUGACCUGUGAGAUGGAAGAUGUUGCCGCACGGCUGAUACUUAGUAAACACUUGCUGGUCAAAUGAAGUUGUAAAGGACACUGGCCCUCAACUGGCAGAGCCAUAGAUGUAAGCGGUAUUCUGUAAUUAGUCUAAUUGUGGUAACAGGUGAUCUCCAAAUUUAAGCUGCUUAACAUAAUAAAUGUUUUCAUUCACAUUAA
This is a non-coding RNA of Manis javanica (Malayan pangolin), 2934 nucleotides long. The record is from RefSeq and is a predicted model, not a curated record. NCBI's taxonomy places the organism in Eukaryota, Metazoa, Chordata, Mammalia, Pholidota, Manidae.